This 512-nucleotide ribosomal RNA is filed under the name uncultured bacterium. RNAcentral's name for it is "partial 16S ribosomal RNA". It matches the Rfam family "Bacterial small subunit ribosomal RNA", at positions 28 to 523 of the family's 1533-position model. The record is from RNAcentral.
GACGAACGCUGGCGGCGUGCUUAACACAUGCAAGUCGAACGGAGAUUCAGCAAUGGAUCUUAGUGGCGAACGGGUGAGUAACGCGUGGGCAAUCUGCCCUCUAGAUGGGGACAACAUCCCGAAAGGGGUGCUAAUACCGAAUGUUGUAUGAUCUUCGCAUGGAGAUGAUACUAAAGGUGGCCUCUGAAUAUGCUACCGCUAGAAGAUGAGCCUGCGUCUGAUUAGCUAGCUGGAGGGGUAACGGCCCACCAAGGCUUCGAUCAGUAGCCGGUCUGAAAGGAUGAACGGCCACACUGGGACUGAGACACGGCCCAGACUCCUACGGGAGGCAGCAGUGGGGAAUCUUCCGCAAUGGACGAAAGUCUGACGGAGCAACGCCGCGUGAGUGAAGAAGGUUUUCGGAUCGUAAAGCUCUUUCGUUAGGGACGAACGUGCUCUUUGUGAAUAAUGAGGAGUAAUGACGGUACCUAAAUAAGAAGCCACGGCUAACUACGUGCCAGCCGCCGCCGUAA